GAACUUAAGCAUAUCAAUAAGCGGAGGAAAAGAAACCAACAGGGAUUGCUUCAGUAACGGCGAGUGAAGCGNCAACAGCUCAAAUUUGAAAUCUGGCUUUUUGGGGCCCGAGUUGUAAUUUGCAGAGGAUGUUUCGGGUGCGGCACCGUUCUAAGUUCCUUGGAACAGGGCGUCAUAGAGGGUGAGAAUCCCGUACGUGACCGGUCGCCAACCCCAUGUGAAACUCCUUCGACGAGUCGAGUUGUUUGGGAAUGCAGCUCAAAAUGGGUGGUAAAUUUCAUCUAAAGCUAAAUACUGGCCAGAGACCGAUAGCGCACAAGUAGAGUGAUCGAAAGAUGAAAAGCACUUUGGAAAGAGAGUUAAAAAGUACGUGAAAUUGUUGAAAGGGAAGCGCUUGCAGCCAGACUCGCCCGGGGGUGAUCAGCCUACCUUCUGGCAGGUGUACUUUCCCCCGGCCGGGCCAGCAUCGGUUCGGGCGGCCGGAUAAAGGUUUCGGGAACGUAGCUCCUCUCGGGGAGUGUUAUAGCCCGGGGCGUAAUGCGGCCAGCCUGGACCGAGGACCGCGCUUUUGCUUAGGAUGCUGGCAUAAU
This 590-nucleotide ribosomal RNA is filed under the name Stictis radiata. Its description in RNAcentral is "LSU rRNA". It matches the Rfam family "Eukaryotic large subunit ribosomal RNA", at positions 30 to 635 of the family's 3401-position model. The record is from RNAcentral. Lineage: Eukaryota; Fungi; Ascomycota; Lecanoromycetes; Ostropales; Stictidaceae.